CCUACGGGAGGCAGCAGUGAGGAAUAUUGGUCAAUGGGCGAGAGCCUGAACCAGCCAAGUCGCGUGAAGGAUGACGGCCCUACGGGUUGUAAACUUCUUUUGUCAGGGAGCAAGUGGGUCCACGCGUGGGCUGAGCGAGAGGACCUGAAGAAAAAGCAGCGGCGAACUCCGUGCCAGCAGCCGCGGGAAUACGGAGGAUGCGAGCGUUCUCCGGAUUUAUUGGGUUUAAAGGGUGCGUAUGCGGAAUAUCAAGUCAGCGGUACAACUUCGGGGCGCAACCCCGUCGUGCCGUUGAAACUGCUGGUCUUGCUUGUGCGAGCAGUAUGCGGAAUGCGUGGUGUAGCGGUGAAAUGCAUAGAUAUCACGCAGAACUCCGAUUGCGAAGGCAGCAUACCGGCGCCCAACUGACGCUGACGCACGAAAGCGUGGGUAUCGAACAGGAUUAGAUACCCGGGUAGUC
This 460-nucleotide ribosomal RNA is filed under the name uncultured bacterium. RNAcentral's name for it is "partial 16S ribosomal RNA". It matches the Rfam family "Bacterial small subunit ribosomal RNA", at positions 338 to 795 of the family's 1533-position model. The record is from RNAcentral.